Molecule: long non-coding RNA, 409 nt
Organism: Etheostoma spectabile (orangethroat darter)
Lineage: Eukaryota; Metazoa; Chordata; Actinopteri; Perciformes; Percidae
Exons: 3
Source: RefSeq, a predicted model, not a curated record
UGUAAUUACAGCUCUGACCUGCUGCUUCUUCCGAUGUGCCUGCAUGCUUCCAGGCUCACCGUCCAGCCUCAUCCUCCACAUUGGGAGUCCUCCUGUUUAUUUCUCUGUCUGUUUGCUGUGUGUCCCGGACCCACUUGGACUCUCCUCUUUCAUCUCGCCUCCAACCUCAGACAAGCCAGGAGUUUCCCCGUCCAGACACAACCUACAUUGCAUCUCUGAGUACACUCUGUUCAUUAAGGCUGAAUCUAAUUUCUCUAUCUUACCCCUACUGCUUACCCCUUCCCCUAGGUUUUGCACAUUCACGUGAGACCUAGUGCUUCCCAAUUUUUUUUUUGAUUAAGGGCUAGGGCUAAGACGAAGGGGUGUAUACCCCUUCAAACCAAGUGAGGACGCAAGCUUACUUGUAGAC